AUUAAACGCUGGCGGCAUGCCUUACACAUGCAAGUCGAACGGUAGCGCGGGGCAACCUGGCGACGAGUGGCGAACGGGUGAGUAAAGCAUCGGAACGUGCCCUGGAAUGGGGGAUAACGUAGCGAAAGUUACGCUAAUACCGCAUAUUCUGUGAGCAGGAAAGCAGGGGAUCGCAAGACCUUGCGUUCUGGGAGCGGCCGAUGUCGGAUUAGCUAGUUGGUGGGGUAAAAGCCUACCAAGGCGACGAUCCGUAGCGGGUCUGAGAGGAUGAUCCGCCACACUGGAACUGAGACACGGUCCAGACUCCUACGGGAGGCAGCAGUGGGGAAUUUUGGACAAUGGGGGCAACCCUGAUCCAGCCAUGCCGCGUGAGUGAAGAAGGCCUCGG
RNAcentral lists this ribosomal RNA (388 nucleotides) under uncultured bacterium. RNAcentral describes it as "bacterial SSU rRNA". It matches the Rfam family "Bacterial small subunit ribosomal RNA", at positions 29 to 420 of the family's 1533-position model. The record is from RNAcentral.